This 541-nucleotide ribosomal RNA is filed under the name uncultured bacterium. Its description in RNAcentral is "bacterial SSU rRNA". It matches the Rfam family "Bacterial small subunit ribosomal RNA", at positions 969 to 1509 of the family's 1533-position model. The record is from RNAcentral.
CCUUACCUGGCCUUGACAUACUAAGAACUUUCCAGAGAUGGAUUGGUGCCUUCGGGAACUUAGAUACAGGUGCUGCAUGGCUGUCGUCAGCUCGUGUCGUGAGAUGUUGGGUUAAGUCCCGCAACGAGCGCAACCCUUUUCCUUAUUUGCCAGCGGGUAAUGCCGGGAACUUUAAGGAUACUGCCAGUGACAAACUGGAGGAAGGCGGGGACGACGUCAAGUUAUCAUGGCCCUUACGGCCAGGACUACACACGUGCUACAAUGGUCGGUACAAAGGGUUGCUACCUCGCGAGAGGAUGCUAAUCUCAAAAAGCCGAUCGUAGUCCGGAUCGCAGUCUGCAACUCGACUGCGUGAAGUCGGAAUCGCUAGUAAUCGCGGAUCAGAAUGCCGCGGUGAAUACGUUCCCGGGCCUUGUACACACCGCCCGUCACACCAUGGGAGUUUGUUGCACCAGAAGUAGGUAGUCUAACCGCAAGGAGGACGCUUACCACGGUGUGGCCGAUGACUGGGGUGAAGUCGUAACAAGGUAGGCGUAGAUGA